GAGAAGCAAUUAAGUUUAUUUGACCAUAUCUGCCCUUAUGAACUUUCAUAAAGCACUUUAAAAGGUACGCCUCACAUUCACUCCAUGGUAAUUUACGAAGUUGCCUCAGCACAUGCUCAAUGGAAGACUUGUCAAGAUCCGAGAAAAGCAAUUUUCUAAUAUACUGAUAUAGUGGGGGCCGGACUUUAGACACUCGUGCAGAUCUUUCAGGGGGUUUACACAAAUAGUAAGCAUUUUCUACAAGUGUGCUGUGGCGGGGAUCCAAAUUUUUAACAUUUUUCAAGCGCAUCAAUAUCUCUAACAUAUUAGCCA
This 312-nucleotide unclassified non-coding RNA is filed under the name Hevea brasiliensis (rubber tree). Lineage: Eukaryota; Viridiplantae; Streptophyta; Magnoliopsida; Malpighiales; Euphorbiaceae. The record is from RNAcentral.